RNAcentral lists this ribosomal RNA (518 nucleotides) under Alternaria solani. RNAcentral's name for it is "eukaryotic LSU rRNA". The stretch from base 172 to 325 matches the Rfam family "5.8S ribosomal RNA". The record is from RNAcentral. Lineage: Eukaryota; Fungi; Ascomycota; Dothideomycetes; Pleosporales; Pleosporaceae.
UCAUUACACAAAUAUGAAGGCGGGCUGGAACCUCUCGGGGUUACAGCCUUGCUGAAUUAUUCACCCUUGUCUUUUGCGUACUUCUUGUUUCCUUGGUGGGUUCGCCCACCACUAGGACAAACAUAAACCUUUUGUAAUUGCAAUCAGCGUCAGUAACAAAUUAAUAAUUACAACUUUCAACAACGGAUCUCUUGGUUCUGGCAUCGAUGAAGAACGCAGCGAAAUGCGAUAAGUAGUGUGAAUUGCAGAAUUCAGUGAAUCAUCGAAUCUUUGAACGCACAUUGCGCCCUUUGGUAUUCCAAAGGGCAUGCCUGUUCGAGCGUCAUUUGUACCCUCAAGCUUUGCUUGGUGUUGGGCGUCUUGUCUCUAGCUUUGCUGGAGACUCGCCUUAAAGUAAUUGGCAGCCGGCCUACUGGUUUCGGAGCGCAGCACAAGUCGCACUCUCUAUCAGCAAAGGUCUAGCAUCCAUUAAGCCUUUUUUUCAACUUUUGACCUCGGAUCAGGUAGGGAUACCCGCU